Molecule: ribosomal RNA, 253 nt
Filed under: uncultured bacterium
Lineage: Bacteria
Description: partial 16S ribosomal RNA
Rfam family: Bacterial small subunit ribosomal RNA
Source: RNAcentral
UACGUAGGGUGCAAGCGUUGUCCGGAAUUAUUGGGCGUAAAGAGCUCGUAGGCGGUUCGUCGCGUCGGCUGUGAAAACCCGGAGCUCAACUCCGGGCCUGCAGUCGAUACGGGCGGACUUGAGUGUUGCAGGGGAGACUGGAAUUCCUGGUGUAGCGGUGAAAUGCGUAGAUAUCUGGAGGAACACCGGUGGCGAAGGCGGCAUCCUGGACCGAGACUGACACUGAGGAGCGAAAGCCAGGGGAGCAAACGGG